GACGAACGCUGGCGGCGUGCUUAACACAUGCAAGUCGAACGGCAAGGCCCUGCUUUUGUGGGGUGCUCGAGUGGCGAACGGGUGAGUAACACGUGAGUAACCUGCCCUUGACUUUGGGAUAACUUCAGGAAACUGGGGCUAAUACCGGAUAGGAGCUCCUGCUGCAUGGUGGGGGUUGGAAAGUUUCGGCGGUUGGGGAUGGACUCGCGGCUUAUCAGCUUGUUGGUGGGGUAGUGGCUUACCAAGGCUUUGACGGGUAGCCGGCCUGAGAGGGUGACCGGCCACAUUGGGACUGAGAUACGGCCCAGACUCCUACGGGGGGCAGCAGUGGGGAAUAUUGCACAAUGGGCGGAAGCCUGAUGCAGAAACGCCGCGGGCGGGAUGACGGCCUUCGGGUUGUAAACCGCUUUCGCCUGUGACGAAGCGUGAGUGACGGUAAUGGGUAAAGAAGCACCGGCUAACUACGUG
RNAcentral lists this ribosomal RNA (468 nucleotides) under uncultured bacterium. RNAcentral's name for it is "partial 16S ribosomal RNA". It matches the Rfam family "Bacterial small subunit ribosomal RNA", at positions 28 to 507 of the family's 1533-position model. The record is from RNAcentral.